This 4946-nucleotide long non-coding RNA is filed under the name Homo sapiens (human). RNAcentral describes it as "HSALNT0179001". The record is from RNAcentral. Lineage: Eukaryota; Metazoa; Chordata; Mammalia; Primates; Hominidae.
GUUCAUUCCUCCCGGUGGGUUCGUGGUCUCGCUGGCCUCAGGAGAGAAGCUGCAGACCUUCGCGGUGAGUGUAGCUCAUAAAGGCAGUGUGGACCCAAAGACUCAGCAGCAGCAAGAUUUAUUGCAAAGAGCGAAAGAACAAAGAUUCCACAUUGUGGAAGGGGACCACAGUGGGUUGCCACUUCCAGCUUCGGCAUUCUGCUUUUAUUCCCUUAUCUGGCCUCACCCACAACCUGCUGAUUGGUUAAUUUUACAGAGAGCUGAUUGGUCCGUUUUGACAGGGUGCUGAUUGGUGUGUUUACGAUCCCUGAGCUAGACACAAAAGUUCUCCAGGUCCCCACUAGAUUAGCUAGACACAGAGUACUGAUUGGUGCAUUCACAAACCCUGAGCUAGACACAGGGUGCUGAUUGGUGCAUUUACAAACCUUGAGCUAGACACAGAGCGCUGAUUGGUGCAUUCACAACCCCUUAGCUAGACAUAAAGGUUCUCCAAGUCCCCACUAGACUCAGGAGCCCAGCUGGCUUCACCCAGUGGAUCCCGCACCGGGGAGCUGGUGGAGCUGUGGGUCAGUCCCGUGAGGUGCGCUGGCACUCCUCAGCCCUUGGGUGGUCGAUGGGACUGGGUGCCGUGGAGCAGGGGGCGACGCUUGUCCGGGAGGCUUGGUUGGUGCAGGAGCCCACGGCGUGGGGGAGGCUCAGGCAUGGCGGGCUGCGGGUCCCGAGCCCUGCCCCGCGGGGAGGCAUCUGAGGCCAGGUGAGAAUUUGAGCGCCUGCCGGCACUGCUGGGGGACCCGGCGCACCCUCCGCAGCUGCCGGCCCGGGUGCUAAGCCUUACUUCACUGCCCCGGGCGGGCGGCUCCGCCGGCUGCUCUGAGUGCUGGGCCGCGGAGCCCACGCCCACCCGGAACUCGCGCUGGCCCGGAAGCGCCGCGCGCAGCCUCGGUUCCCGCCCGUGCCUCUCCCUCCACACCUCCCCGCAACUGAGGGAGCCGGCUCCGGCCUCGGCCAGCCCAGAAAGGGGCUCACACAGUGCAGGGCCGGGCUGAAGGGCUCCUUAAGGGCGGCCAGAGUUGGCGCCAAGGCUGAGGAGGUGCCCAGAGCGAGCGAGGGCUGCCAGGGCUGCUAGCAGGCUGUCACCUCUCAAUAGCAGUUUUGUAUAUGGGAUCUAGCCCCUCCCUAAGAGGUUGAUUCUAAGGAAGCCAACAGCCGUGUUGUGAGUACCCAAUGGAAAGUCUGUUGUGGCAGAAAACUGAUGUCUCCAGCCAACAGCACUGAGGCCCUGAGACCUGCCAACUGUCAUGUUACAUCUCAAGGAGAAGGAUUGCCAGAUCAAAAGUCUUGCAGUUAACCAGGCGUGGUGGCAGAUACCUGUAAUCCCAGCUAUUCGGGAGGCUGAGGCAGGAGAAUCGCUUGUACCCGGGAGGCAGAGGUUGCAGUGAGCUGAGACCGCGCCAUUGACUCCUGCCUGAUGACAAGAGAGAAUCUACGUCUCAACAACAACAACACGCUUGGGCACUGUAUUAACUCCAUAAUCGCCUCUGUGCUCUUUCCCCUGUGGACAAUAACUACCAUUUCAUCCUGGACACCCAUUGUUUGCCUGGACCACACCUUGUUAUGACCAUAACCCUCAGUCAGACUCAACCUUCCUUCAAGAUCUGCAGAUCUAAAUUUUAUUGGGAACAGCUAGUUUGACAAGCAUAGACCAGAUGUCCAGUUGUCAUUCAUUCAGCAGGAGCAGCAAGAUUCAAUCAUGUUUUUAUUAUAUUAUUUCCUGAAACUUGUGGCUGUAACAAUGAAGUUUGAGGUAGGUACUGUUCACCAAAACAUAGAAGAGAUUCCAAUUGAUGCUCACUACUAAUUAGUGUUCAUUAAAGCAUAACAUACCCUAGAUUGUUUCUCUUGGAUUACUUAUCUGUACUUGUGUAUUCAUUCAUUUGUUCAUUCAUUCACUCAUCCAUCCAACUAUCUAUCUGUCCAUCCAUUUAUUCAUUUUCAAACUAAGUUUUAGGGCUGGCACUGUGAUAAAUGCUAUUCACAGUCAUUAAUCAAUAGUUAUAGUUAUUAUUUAAAAGUGUAUAGAAUAGCAGAAGGUGGAGACAUUUUCAUAUAAGUUAGAAAGUGCUAUAAUUAUCUCUUGGUUUAUGUGUUAUAACUGAGACAGCACAAAGAACAGCUUAUUAACUUUGUCUAAUAAAGUGUAGGUAGUAGUAAAAUUUAAGCUGAGUCUUAGAGAAUAUAUAUGGAUUUUUUAAAGGAAGAAAAACAAUAGCAUAUGCAAAACCUUAAAAGGAAGGAAGGGCUUUAUGAGUUUUGGAAAUAAGGAAAAGAAAAGGAUGAUGAGUUUGGAAGAAUGGUGGGAAACAGGCAUAGAGAGGUGGAUUGAUUUCUGGUUAUGCAGACCUUACUGUAGCAUGUUAAGGAGUUAUAUUUUAUCAAUGAUUCAAUACCUUAUUAAGAGGAAGGAUUUGAUUAGAUUAGUGUUUUAGAAAAAUUAAUUUGCUAGUCAUGAGGGUGAACUACAGUGGGGUAAGAUGAAAGCAGGACAACCAAAUAGGUGGCUUUUAUAAAAGCUUAGGAAACAGAUAGAAAAGCCCAGACUAAGGAAAAUGUAGUAUUGCACUUAAUUUCUCUUAGUCAUUAGGUUUUUCAACAUAAACCAAACCAAAACAAAAUCAUUGCAAAGAAUAGAGCUCUGUUCUUAUAAAGUGUUUCCCUUCAGUUGUGGUCUAAUUAAUUAAUUGUUCCUGAAGUUUAAUUAAAUAGUCAUGGAUAUUUUUAUAAAGGAUGUGGAACAACCAAUUAAAAUAUUCAUCUUGGCCUUUCAAAAUUAAUUAUCCCUUAAAUGCCACAGUCUAACCUAUAUCACAGAUAUUUAAGCAUAAGGGGAAAAAUGUUUGGAUUUGAGUGAAUCAUAGUAUUUAGUCUAUCAUAUUCUCAUAGGGAAAAUGAAAGGUAAUUUGAGAUAUACUACAGAUCAGUGCUAUUCAAUAAAACUAUUGGUGACGAUGGAGGUGUUCUCUGUCGUUACUGUCCAACAUGGCAGUUCUAGCCAUAUGUGGCUAUUGAGCACUUAAAAUGUGCCUAGUACAAUGGGGGACAUGAAUUCUUGAUGUUUUUAAAAUUGUAUUUAAUACAUACAAACUUAAACUGAAAUUUAAAUAAUCACAUGUACCCUAGUGGCUACCUUGUUGAACAGCACAACUCUAUAGACAGUGAAAAAUAUGCAGACUCAGUUGGACAAUCCUGCAAUGUGUGGCUAUAAAGAAGGCAGUGCAGGGCAGAAGAUAUAAAGUAGGGCAGGGGCUCAGGAUGGAAUUUUAUUUCAGCGCAGAUAAUUAAUGAGCUGCAGAUAUGAAUUUGCACAUAAACGUAAGUUCUCUCACUUGUACUAUGAAGUGAUUGGCUGAAUAAUCAUGACUAUCCAUUUAAGCUUCAUGUUUCUAUAGAAGUAAGUGAUUGUCACAGUUCAGCUGAAUAAGAUCUUGUUGGAGAAAAUGGCUUAUUUUCCACACUUUUCUUCAUUUUUAUAAAACUGGUCUAGGUGUAAAUUUGAGAUGCAAAAGUCAAGGAUAUAUAUUUUGAGUAAGUUGAAAAUGCAAAAGCAAAUAUGUACAUUUGCUGAAAGCUAUUUGUUUUCAAUCUAGUAAUUUAUAUACGCCUUACUUUGUAAUUUUCACUUAGUGUCUUUCUUUUACUACAUGUUACCUUCUAUGAUAGGCAGCCUCAAUAUGACUUUCAAUUAUCAUCACUUCCUGAAAUUCAUACCCUUGUUUUGUCUUCUUCCACACAGGAUUGGUCUGUGUAAGUAUGGCAGAAGUGAUGUUAAGUCGCUUAUGAGAUUAGGGUAUAAAAGACUAAGGCUUCCAUGCUUCCAUCUUGGUCUCUGUCUCUCAGAGAACAGUCAUGUGAAUGAUUCUUCUUGAAAGUAAAUCUUCCAGCCCCAGUCCAGUAUUCAAAUGAUCCAGCAACAUUGCAACUUAUGAGAGACCUUGAGCCAUCCAGGUAACAUGCUUCCAAAUCCUGACCCUUAAAACCUGUAAAAUAAUAAAUGUGGUUUUAAACUCUUAAGUAAUUUGUUACAUAGUAAUAAAUAGCUAAUACACCGUCCUGACUAUUGUCAUUCUUUACAAUAUUUCAUAAGCACUAGUCAUUAAACUAUCUGUAGUCCCUAAAAUAUUUAUCAAUCCUUUAAGCCUCUAUAAGUUCACAGAUUUUUAUGUGUAGAUAUUUAUUCCUCUGUCAAAUAUCUAAUGCAAUAUUUUCUCUUUCAAAUUUGGCUAGUGUCCUUUCUAGAGAAUUUUAUGACCUCACCAAUCUGAAUUAAGCACCAUCGCCAUUCCUGGUUUCAUAGAAGCAGAUGCCCAUGUCUAACUUAGCACUAGUCACACUGUUAUGUUCACAAGAUUGUAAGCUACUAAGAUUGGGACCUUAGUUUUAUUAAGUUUACAUAAUGUCAGAUACAUUGCCUAGCAAAAAAGAACUUGCUUAAUUAUUGUUUUUUAAAAUUAAAUACUAACAGAAUGAAUGGUUAAACACCAUUAAAUAAAUAUGUUAGUUCAGAUUAUAUAUUGAUGUAUGGUCAUUAGUUUCCUACAAAAGAGAAAUUUCAUGUUUUUCUAUCUAAAUGUAUAAUGCUCCCUCCAGCCCUACAGACAUACUAUUUUUUUCAAAAGAAUAAAGAGACAUGAACAAUAUAAAUUCAAACUGCAAGACGGUUGUGUCACAUUUCCUGGACUAUGUUGUAGCCUCCGUUUUGUAGCUGCACCUCCAGGAUAACUUGUGAAUCCUUAGGGUCAUGGAAAGAAGCCCAGUAAGUGGAUUUCUUUCUGAACAGGGCUGUCUUUGUUUCAUCAUGGAGCACCUUGUCCUCUUCAUCCAGCAUUAUGAUUUGCUCUUGGCCUUUCUCUGGGACACAAUAUGUGGCUCAUAGUUCUGAAUUAGAGGAG